GACGAACGCUGGCGGCGUGCUUAACACAUGCAAGUCGAACGGAAAGGCCCUGCUUUUGUGGGGUGCUCGAGUGGCGAACGGGUGAGUAACACGUGAGUAACCUGCCCUUGACUUUGGGAUAACUUCAGGAAACUGGGGCUAAUACCGGAUAGGAGCUCCUGCUGCAUGGUGGGGGUUGGAAAGUUUCGGCGGUUGGGGAUGGACUCGCGGCUUAUCAGCUUGUUGGUGGGGUAGUGGCUUACCAAGGCUUUGACGGGUAGCCGGCCUGAGAGGGUGACCGGCCACAUUGGGACUGAGAUACGGCCCAGACUCCUACGGGCGGCAGCAGUGGGGAAUAUUGCACAAUGGGCGGAAGCCUGAUGCAGAAACGCCGCGUGCGGGAUGACGGCCUUCGGGUUGUAAACCGCUUUCGCCUGUGACGAAGCGUGAGUGACGGUAAUGGGUAAAGAAGCACCGGCUAACUACGUG
This 468-nucleotide ribosomal RNA is filed under the name uncultured bacterium. Its description in RNAcentral is "partial 16S ribosomal RNA". It matches the Rfam family "Bacterial small subunit ribosomal RNA", at positions 28 to 507 of the family's 1533-position model. The record is from RNAcentral.